Molecule: ribosomal RNA, 253 nt
Filed under: uncultured bacterium
Lineage: Bacteria
Description: partial 16S ribosomal RNA
Rfam family: Bacterial small subunit ribosomal RNA
Source: RNAcentral
UACGAAGGUCCCAAGCGUUAUCCGGAUUUAUUGGGUUUAAAGGGUGCGUAGGCGGGCUAUUAAGUCAGUGGUGAAAGCCUCAAGCUUAACUUGAGAAUUGCCAUUGAUACUGAUGACCUUGAGUACAUUUGAAGUGGGCGGAAUGUGUCAUGUAGCGGUGAAAUGCAUAGAUAUGACACAGAACACCGAUUGCGAAGGCAGCUGACGAAACUGUAACUGACGCUGAGGCUCGAAAGCGUGGGGAUCAAACAGG